AGGAAUAUUGGUCAAUGGACGAGAGUCUGAACCAGCCAAGUAGCGUGAAGGAUGAAGGUUCUAUGGAUUGUAAACUUCUUUUAUACGGGAAUAAACGGAUCCACGUGUGGAUUUUUGCAUGUACCGUAUGAAUAAGGAUCGGCUAACUCCGUGCCAGCAGCCGCGGUAAUACGGAGGAUCCGAGCGUUAUCCGGAUUUAUUGGGUUUAAAGGGAGCGUAGAUGGGUUGUUAAGUCAGUUGUGAAAGUUUGCGGCUCAACCGUAAAAUUGCAAUUGAUACUGGCAGUCUUGAGUACAGUUGAGGUAGGCGGAAUUCGUGGUGUAGCGGUGAAAUGCUUAGAUAUCACGAAGAACUCCGAUUGCGAAGGCAGCUUACUAACCUGUAACUGACAUUGAUGCUCGAAAGUGUGGGUAUCAAACAGGAUUAGAUACCCUGGUAGUCCACACGGUAAACGAUGAAUACUCGCUGUAGGCGAUAUACAGUCUGCGGCCAAGCGAAAGCAUUAAGUAUUCCACCUGGGGAGUACGCCGGCAACGGUGAAACUCAAAGGAAUUGACGGGGGCCCGCACAAGCGGAGGAACAUGUGGUUUAAUUCGAUGAUACGCGAGGAACCUUACCCGGGCUUAAAUUGCAACCGAAUAUGGCGGAAACGCUAUAGCUAGCAAUAGCGGUUGUGAAGGUGCUGCAUGGUUGUCGUCAGCUCGUGCCGUGAGGUGUCGGCUUAAGUGCCAUAACGAGCGCAACCCUUGCCGAUAGUUACUAACAGGUUAUGCUGAGGACUCUGUCGGGACUGCCAUCGUAAGAUGUGAGGAAGGUGGGGAUGACGUCAAAUCAGCACGGCCCUUACGUCCGGGGCUACACACGUGUUACAAUGGGGGGUACAGAGGGCUGCUACCACGCAAGUGGAUGCCAAUCCCAAAAACCUCUCUCAGUUCGGAUUGAAGUCUGCAACCCGACUUCAUGAAGCUGGAUUCGCUAGUAAUCGCGCAUCAGCCACGGCGCGGUGAAUACGUUCCCG
RNAcentral lists this ribosomal RNA (1018 nucleotides) under uncultured bacterium. RNAcentral describes it as "bacterial SSU rRNA". It matches the Rfam family "Bacterial small subunit ribosomal RNA", at positions 357 to 1376 of the family's 1533-position model. The record is from RNAcentral.